This 2901-nucleotide ribosomal RNA is filed under the name Escherichia coli. RNAcentral describes it as "bacterial LSU rRNA". It matches the Rfam family "Bacterial large subunit ribosomal RNA". Lineage: Bacteria; Pseudomonadati; Pseudomonadota; Gammaproteobacteria; Enterobacterales; Enterobacteriaceae. The record is from RNAcentral.
UUAAGCGACUAAGCGUACACGGUGGAUGCCCUGGCAGUCAGAGGCGAUGAAGGACGUGCUAAUCUGCGAUAAGCGUCGGUAAGGUGAUAUGAACCGUUAUAACCGGCGAUUUCCGAAUGGGGAAACCCAGUGUGUUUCGACACACUAUCAUUAACUGAAUCCAUAGGUUAAUGAGGCGAACCGGGGGAACUGAAACAUCUAAGUACCCCGAGGAAAAGAAAUCAACCGAGAUUCCCCCAGUAGCGGCGAGCGAACGGGGAGCAGCCCAGAGCCUGAAUCAGUAUGUGUGUUAGUGGAAGCGUCUGGAAAGGCGCGCGAUACAGGGUGACAGCCCCGUACACAAAAAUGCACAUAUUGUGAGCUCGAUGAGUAGGGCGGGACACGUGGUAUCCUGUCUGAAUAUGGGGGGACCAUCCUCCAAGGCUAAAUACUCCUGACUGACCGAUAGUGAACCAGUACCGUGAGGGAAAGGCGAAAAGAACCCCGGCGAGGGGAGUGAAAAAGAACCUGAAACCGUGUACGUACAAGCAGUGGGAGCACGCUUAGGCGUGUGACUGCGUACCUUUUGUAUAAUGGGUCAGCGACUUAUAUUCUGUAGCAAGGUUAACCGAAUAGGGGAGCCGAAGGGAAACCGAGUCUUAACUGGGCGUUAAGUUGCAGGGUAUAGACCCGAAACCCGGUGAUCUAGCCAUGGGCAGGUUGAAGGUUGGGUAACACUAACUGGAGGACCGAACCGACUAAUGUUGAAAAAUUAGCGGAUGACUUGUGGCUGGGGGUGAAAGGCCAAUCAAACCGGGAGAUAGCUGGUUCUCCCCGAAAGCUAUUUAGGUAGCGCCUCGUGAAUUCAUCUCCGGGGGUAGAGCACUGUUUCGGCAAGGGGGUCAUCCCGACUUACCAACCCGAUGCAAACUGCGAAUACCGGAGAAUGUUAUCACGGGAGACACACGGCGGGUGCUAACGUCCGUCGUGAAGAGGGAAACAACCCAGACCGCCAGCUAAGGUCCCAAAGUCAUGGUUAAGUGGGAAACGAUGUGGGAAGGCCCAGACAGCCAGGAUGUUGGCUUAGAAGCAGCCAUCAUUUAAAGAAAGCGUAAUAGCUCACUGGUCGAGUCGGCCUGCGCGGAAGAUGUAACGGGGCUAAACCAUGCACCGAAGCUGCGGCAGCGACACUAUGUGUUGUUGGGUAGGGGAGCGUUCUGUAAGCCUGUGAAGGUGUGCUGUGAGGCAUGCUGGAGGUAUCAGAAGUGCGAAUGCUGACAUAAGUAACGAUAAAGCGGGUGAAAAGCCCGCUCGCCGGAAGACCAAGGGUUCCUGUCCAACGUUAAUCGGGGCAGGGUGAGUCGACCCCUAAGGCGAGGCCGAAAGGCGUAGUCGAUGGGAAACAGGUUAAUAUUCCUGUACUUGGUGUUACUGCGAAGGGGGGACGGAGAAGGCUAUGUUGGCCGGGCGACGGUUGUCCCGGUUUAAGCGUGUAGGCUGGUUUUCCAGGCAAAUCCGGAAAAUCAAGGCUGAGGCGUGAUGACGAGGCACUACGGUGCUGAAGCAACAAAUGCCCUGCUUCCAGGAAAAGCCUCUAAGCAUCAGGUAACAUCAAAUCGUACCCCAAACCGACACAGGUGGUCAGGUAGAGAAUACCAAGGCGCUUGAGAGAACUCGGGUGAAGGAACUAGGCAAAAUGGUGCCGUAACUUCGGGAGAAGGCACGCUGAUAUGUAGGUGAAGUCCCUCGCGGAUGGAGCUGAAAUCAGUCGAAGAUACCAGCUGGCUGCAACUGUUUAUUAAAAACACAGCACUGUGCAAACACGAAAGUGGACGUAUACGGUGUGACGCCUGCCCGGUGCCGGAAGGUUAAUUGAUGGGGUCAGCGCAAGCGAAGCUCUUGAUCGAAGCCCCGGUAAACGGCGGCCGUAACUAUAACGGUCCUAAGGUAGCGAAAUUCCUUGUCGGGUAAGUUCCGACCUGCACGAAUGGCGUAAUGAUGGCCAGGCUGUCUCCACCCGAGACUCAGUGAAAUUGAACUCGCUGUGAAGAUGCAGUGUACCCGCGGCAAGACGGAAAGACCCCGUGAACCUUUACUAUAGCUUGACACUGAACAUUGAGCCUUGAUGUGUAGGAUAGGUGGGAGGCUUUGAAGUGUGGACGCCAGUCUGCAUGGAGCCGACCUUGAAAUACCACCCUUUAAUGUUUGAUGUUCUAACGUUGACCCGUAAUCCGGGUUGCGGACAGUGUCUGGUGGGUAGUUUGACUGGGGCGGUCUCCUCCUAAAGAGUAACGGAGGAGCACGAAGGUUGGCUAAUCCUGGUCGGACAUCAGGAGGUUAGUGCAAUGGCAUAAGCCAGCUUGACUGCGAGCGUGACGGCGCGAGCAGGUGCGAAAGCAGGUCAUAGUGAUCCGGUGGUUCUGAAUGGAAGGGCCAUCGCUCAACGGAUAAAAGGUACUCCGGGGAUAACAGGCUGAUACCGCCCAAGAGUUCAUAUCGACGGCGGUGUUUGGCACCUCGAUGUCGGCUCAUCACAUCCUGGGGCUGAAGUAGGUCCCAAGGGUAUGGCUGUUCGCCAUUUAAAGUGGUACGCGAGCUGGGUUUAGAACGUCGUGAGACAGUUCGGUCCCUAUCUGCCGUGGGCGCUGGAGAACUGAGGGGGGCUGCUCCUAGUACGAGAGGACCGGAGUGGACGCAUCACUGGUGUUCGGGUUGUCAUGCCAAUGGCACUGCCCGGUAGCUAAAUGCGGAAGAGAUAAGUGCUGAAAGCAUCUAAGCACGAAACUUGCCCCGAGAUGAGUUCUCCCUGACUCCUUGAGAGUCCUGAAGGAACGUUGAAGACGACGACGUUGAUAGGCCGGGUGUGUAAGCGCAGCGAUGCGUUGAGCUAACCGGUACUAAUGAACCGUGAGGCUUAACCUU